UACGUAGGGUGCAAGCGUUAUCCGGAAUCACUGGGCGUAAAGCGUGCGUAGGCGGCGUGUUAAGUGAGAUGUUAAAUCGUGUGGCUCAACCAUAUCGAUGCAUCUCAUACUGGCAUGCUAGAGGAAGGCAGAGGCAAGUGGAAUUGGUAGUGUAGCAGUGAAAUGCGUAGAUAUUACCAGGAACACCAAUGGCGAAGGCAGCUUGCUGGGCCUUUUCUGACGCUGAAGUACGAAAGCGUGGGGAGCGAACAGG
RNAcentral lists this ribosomal RNA (253 nucleotides) under uncultured bacterium. RNAcentral's name for it is "partial 16S ribosomal RNA". It matches the Rfam family "Bacterial small subunit ribosomal RNA", at positions 524 to 776 of the family's 1533-position model. The record is from RNAcentral.